GUAGUCCACGCCCUAAACGAUGUCGACUAGGUGUUCGGGAAGGAGACUUCUUGAGUACCGCAGCUAACGCGUGAAGUCGACCGCCUGGGGAGUACGGUCGCAAGAUUAAAACUCAAAGGAAUUGACGGGGACCCGCACAAGCGGUGGAUGAUGUGGAUUAAUUCGAUGCAACGCGAAAAACCUUACCUACCCUUGACAUGCCUGGAACCUUGGUGAGAGCCGAGGGUGCCUUCGGGAGCCAGGACACAGGUGCUGCAUGGCUGUCGUCAGCUCGUGUCGUGAGAUGUUGGGUUAAGUCCCGCAACGAGCGCAACCCUUGUCACUAAUUGCCAGCAUUAAGUUGGGCACUUUAGUGAGACUGCCGGUGACAAACCGGA
This 377-nucleotide ribosomal RNA is filed under the name uncultured bacterium. RNAcentral describes it as "bacterial SSU rRNA". It matches the Rfam family "Bacterial small subunit ribosomal RNA", at positions 790 to 1167 of the family's 1533-position model. The record is from RNAcentral.